This 309-nucleotide unclassified non-coding RNA is filed under the name plant metagenome. Its description in RNAcentral is "partial contains 5.8S ribosomal RNA, internal transcribed spacer 2, and large subunit ribosomal RNA". The stretch from base 1 to 105 matches the Rfam family "5.8S ribosomal RNA", at positions 50 to 154 of the family's 154-position model. The record is from RNAcentral.
GAAAUGCGAUAAGUAAUGCGAAUUGCAGAAUUUAGUGAAUCAUCGAAUCUUUGAACGCACAUUGCGCCCCUUGGUAUUCCAUGGGGCAUGCCUGUUCGAGCGUCAUUUGUACCCUCAAGCUCUGCUUGGUGUUGGGUGUUUGUCCCGUCUCCGCGCGUGGACUCGCCCCAAAGUGAUUGGCAGCCGGCGUACUGGUCCCGGAGCGCAGCACAUGUCGCGCAAACGAGUGCCUUGGUACGGCGGCGUCCAUAAGCCCCUCUCUCACGCUCUUGACCUCGGAUCAGGUAGGGAUACCCGCUGAACUUAAGC